This 468-nucleotide ribosomal RNA is filed under the name uncultured bacterium. RNAcentral's name for it is "partial 16S ribosomal RNA". It matches the Rfam family "Bacterial small subunit ribosomal RNA", at positions 28 to 507 of the family's 1533-position model. The record is from RNAcentral.
GACGAACGCUGGCGGCGUGCUUAACACAUGCAAGUCGAACGGAAAGGCCCUGCUUUUGUGGGGUGCUCGAGUGGCGAACGGGUGAGUAACACGAGAGUAACCUGCCCUUGACUUUGGGAUAACUUCAGGAAACUGGGGCUAAUACCGGAUAGGAGCUCCUGCUGCAUGGUGGGGGGUGGAAAGUUUCUGCGGUUGGGGAUGGACUCGCGGCUUAUCAGCUUGUUGGUGGGGGAGUGGCUUACCAAGGCUUUGACGGGUAGCCGGCCUGAGAGGGUGACCGGCCACAUUGGUCCUGCGAUACGGCCCAGUGUCCUACGGUAGACAGCAGUGGGGAAUAUUGCCCAAUGGGCGGAAGCCUGAUGCAGCAACGCCGCGUGCGUGAUGACGGCCUUCGGGUUGUAAACCGCUUUCGCCUGUGACGAAGCGUGAGUGACGGUAAUGGGUAAAGAAGCACCGGCUAACUACGUG